UCACCCAAAGAAACUAUCCAAAUCAUAAAAUUUCCGAUCCGAGCUCAUAUACAAAUAAGUCAACUCUUAGUCAAACCUUUCAAAUUCAAAGCUUUCAACUGAGAUUGUUCCUUCAAAUUUAUUCUGAUUUUUCCUAAAAACCAAAACCAACGAUCUACAUCAGUCAUAAUACGUUACACGAGGCAAGUCAUGCCCGGGAACUGGCGAUCAAAGUGCAAAAGUUCAAAACGACCGGUCGGGUCGUUACAAUAAAUUGGUACCUGGUAAGCAGAAUGUUUUGCCGAUAAAGACAAGAAAGUGAAAGAGAAUAAUGAUUUCUGCGGCAAUCUUGAAACCUACACGAAAAGAGAAGUUGAAGACAGAUAAGAUGGAGAAGAUUGACAAGGAUGAUUGAGCAUAAUCGAGCAGAUUUGGAAAAUAUCCGAUAUAUAUAUGGAAGAAAACAUGCAAACAGAAAAAUUAAGUUAGGGGUAUUCUAUUUUCUUCUUUAAGUUGUCCAAGUCUAUAGUGUUGUAAUGUUUUCUUCUUUGCAUUUAUUACAAGAAAAAUAACAUAUAACUUGAACCCAUUUUCCAUGAAGGGAACGGAUUUUAGGAGAGAGUUCAGAACUAUAUCAACCUAUUUGCCAUAAUACUGGAAGUAGUGAAUCAAUAUGGCAUCACAACAAGACAAGAAAUUCAAAAGCAUGACUAAUUCAACUCAGCAUUAAUCGUCAUAUGCCCCUAAAGUUUAAAGAGUAGAUACCGCCUUACAGUUGCAACACAUUGACAUAUGUAAUUUAUGUACUGAUAUUGAAUUAUUAGCAGUCAUGACGGAAUUCUUCUUACCUUAAACUGCUGUAAAUUCAUGCUCCAUAAAUCAGAGCUCUCAUUCUUAAUUAAUUUGGGGAAAAUUUCAAAAAAAAAUUGCAGAUUUGGGGAAAACAGAUAGAGGGAGAAGAUUGACAGCAGAUUUUUCAAAAUUUACUUGGGGAAGAAGAGAAAUUUACCUGGGAUUUGGGAAGAAGAUCGCCGGGGGCUGUGGCAGGCCGGAGCUGUCGCAGGCCACAUUGAUUUUGUUAACUAGAGACUAUUAACCGGAGCGAUUUUGCAGGCCAAAUACUGUCGAAAGGGAAUAGGUUUUGUUAUUUUUUUUCUUUUUUGGCAGAAGUCGUAUUGGUUUCUAAUUGGAG
Molecule: long non-coding RNA, 1171 nt
Filed under: Nicotiana tabacum (common tobacco)
Lineage: Eukaryota; Viridiplantae; Streptophyta; Magnoliopsida; Solanales; Solanaceae
Description: long non-coding RNA (NTAB_LNC015116)
Source: RNAcentral